AAGGACAGUUAGGUAGUAAAUAUAAGUUUAUUAAUCUAUUAUAAAAAAGUAAAAUUUGUAUAUAAAUAGUUAAUUUAAUAAUAACUUUCAUAUGCUGAAGCUGUGAUAAUUUUGAGGGAAACUGGGAUUUGAUACCCCAUUAUUCAUAACUGUAAAUUGAAUUAUUCACCAAAGUACUAUGAAUAACAUAAUAAUAUUUAAAACUUAAAGAGCUUGGCGGUGUUUUAGACCAAUCAGGGGAACCUGUCUCAUAAUCGAUAAUCCACGCURUACCUAAUCCUUUAUUGUAAYUCAGUUUGUAUACCGUCGUCGGCAGGUAACUUUUAAAAAUUUGAAAGUUAGCAAAAUAAUUUUUUGAAUUAAUACGUCAGAUCAAGGUGCAACCAACAAAAGGAUGAGGAUGGGUUACAAUUGUAAAAUUAUAAUUACGGAUAAUUAGAUGAAAAUAUAGUUUUAAGGAGGACUUGAAAGUAAAACAGAAUAUAUAAACAUUUUGAAUAUGGCUCUGAAACGUGUACAAACCGCCCGUCGCUCACGUUGAAAAAGGAGAUAAGUCGUAACAUAGCAGGGGUAAUGGAAAUUGUUCCUAAGUU
This 593-nucleotide ribosomal RNA is filed under the name Colubraria muricata. RNAcentral's name for it is "partial 12S ribosomal RNA". Lineage: Eukaryota; Metazoa; Mollusca; Gastropoda; Neogastropoda; Buccinidae. The record is from RNAcentral.